This is an unclassified non-coding RNA of Callithrix jacchus (white-tufted-ear marmoset), 116 nucleotides long. It matches the Rfam family "Metazoan signal recognition particle RNA". Rfam says of the family: The signal recognition particle (SRP) is a universally conserved ribonucleoprotein. The record is from Ensembl. Lineage: Eukaryota; Metazoa; Chordata; Mammalia; Primates; Cebidae.
GCUGGGUGUGGUGGUUCACACCUGUAAUCCCAGCAUUUGGGAGGCUGAGGCAGGUGGAUCACCUGAGGUCAGGAGUUUGAGACCAGCCUGGCCAACAUGGUGAAACUCUGUUUCUA